AACCUGUCGUGCGCGCGUGUCGCAGAUGUGCAUUGCAGAUGUUCGUUCACCAGCGAACCUGCAGCUGUCGAAUCUGCAGAGACCAGAGGUGAGCAACGACGUAGGGAAAUAGGGCUGGCGGGGGCACGUGGGUAACUUGGUCCUGGAGCAUUGGAGAAGGAGCAUACCACAAGGAAACCAACACGGUCAGUCAAAACCAAAUCUAGAUAAUCAUCAUGCUACUUCUAUGUUUUAUGUCUGUUUUUGUAUUGGCAGGUGGAUGCAAUCAAAACCACGAGACAAGAUAAUUUUGGCCACCAAAGUUGCCGGUUAUUCAGAGUGGUCUACAUUUCUUUGAGACAAUGCAAAAGUGGUUCGUGUUGGUGCUGCCAAUAUCAAAGAAAGUAUUGAAAUGAGUCUUAAACGCUUGUCUACAGAUUACAUUGAUUUGCUUCAGAUACACUGGGUUAUGUUGUGUACCUUGUCCGUGUGAGGCGUGGUGGUAGGAAGAGGCCUUUGCCCAAGUGUAUUAUCUAUGGCUAGCCCAAGCACCAGGGUAUCACCCAACUCAAGUUCUAGAGGUACAAGAGGUCUCUCGCUGAGGAGAGAGCUAGACGCAAGCUUGGUGGACUGAGGGUUCUUAACUCCUACUGGGUGAACGAGGUGGAGCUGCUAUUUAUGGAGAGGAGCGUUGAUAGCCAUUGUCCUGGGAUGGUAGUCCGCAUGGCUGAACG
Molecule: long non-coding RNA, 713 nt
Organism: Zea mays
Lineage: Eukaryota; Viridiplantae; Streptophyta; Magnoliopsida; Poales; Poaceae
Exons: 4
Source: RefSeq, a predicted model, not a curated record